GAUAAACGCUGGCGGCGUGCAUUAGACAUGCAAGUCGAACGAACGACCUCGGGCUUGCCCGGGGAAGUGAGUGGCGAACGGCUGAGUAACGCGUAGGUGACCUGCCCUGAAGUGGGGAAUAACUGCCCGAAAGGGUGGCUAAUACCGCAUACGGUCAUGAGUUCAUUCUCAUGUCCAAAGCCUUUGGGCGCUUUUGGAGGGGCCUGCGUUCGAUUAGCUCGUUGGUGAGGUAACGGCUCACCAAGGCGACGAUCGAUAGGUGGUCUGAGAGGAUGAUCACCCAGACUGGGACUGAGACACGGCCCAGACUCCUACGGGAGGCAGCAGUCGGGAAUUUUGCUCAAUGGGGGAAACCCUGAAGCAGCAACGCCGCGUGAGGGAUGAAGGCCUUCGGGUUGUAAACCUCUUUUAUCAGGGACGAUAAUGACGGUACCUGAAGAAUAAGCCACGGCUAACUACGUGCCAG
RNAcentral lists this ribosomal RNA (466 nucleotides) under uncultured bacterium. RNAcentral describes it as "bacterial SSU rRNA". It matches the Rfam family "Bacterial small subunit ribosomal RNA", at positions 28 to 511 of the family's 1533-position model. The record is from RNAcentral.